Molecule: long non-coding RNA, 477 nt
Organism: Poecilia latipinna (sailfin molly)
Lineage: Eukaryota; Metazoa; Chordata; Actinopteri; Cyprinodontiformes; Poeciliidae
Exons: 2
Source: RefSeq, a predicted model, not a curated record
CUUUACUUUUCAUCUAGUUAUUAACUUCUUCUUAUUUUUCUUUCACACUGUCUAUGUAAAGCCCCCCGGAAAACGUCCCAGUUCAACGAAUCUAUAUCUAGGGGUGUGAGAAUCCUUGUUAAAUGACAUCUGAAUCAAAACUCUGUGGUGAAAGAAUGAUUAGUUCCUUCACUCUCCCCAGAGUCAUUAUUCACACUGGAGCUUCUCUUUGUUCAAACUUAGAUUAUUAAAAAGUUUAUCUGCUGCGGAUAAGAUGAUAACUCCUCGUGUUUGGUCAGCUUUGUCUGAAAUUGAUAAAAUGAAACUUUGCUGAAAUACGUUAAGGACCAAAUUACCUAAGAUCCCUCAUAAAAUAAAAAGUUGGUCACUGGCAAAAUGGUCCCACAUACUCACUGGAGAGUCCUAAAUAUAACUAAAUACAUGACAACCAGGAAUAACAAACCAGGUUUAGCAAUGUAUGAGUUUCUGUUGCGUAAA